This is a long non-coding RNA of Galleria mellonella (greater wax moth), 1003 nucleotides long. RefSeq lists it as uncharacterized. The record is from RefSeq and is a predicted model, not a curated record. NCBI's taxonomy places the organism in Eukaryota, Metazoa, Arthropoda, Insecta, Lepidoptera, Pyralidae. The transcript is spliced from 3 exons.
UUUAGCUAUAUAUUCUAUAUUUAAUGAGAUUUGUAUUAUUUGAUAAAUCCCUAUUUGCCAUAUGCCAUCAAACAAAUAUAUUUAUUGUAAUUCUAAUAUUAUCUAAUAUAUUACUCAUCAAACUGGGAUACUUUCUUUUUCGCAUUAGAUAAGUGAUAAUAAAAUAGUGACCCCACCCGCGCAAUCGGUAUACGCUGAUAGAGCACCAGUGAAGGAUGAUAGACGAGGAUGAAACAGAUAACGACAUUUUACCGGAUUCAAUGGACAGACAUUUCAAGAAUCACCAUCACGAAAGCGUAAUGAGGAAUAACGAGUCUGAAGAAUGGAUACAUCAUCAUAGUCACGUUCCUCAGGGCUGCAGAACGUGAUCGUAUUGUGUGUCAUUUAUCAAGAAGAAAAAAUAUAAUUUAAUGAUUGGCUCUGUAUUGCACUGAAACAUUUUUUUAUACACCUAAUAAGAUUGUAAUGAGUCCAUUUUUGUAUAAGGAAUAUUUAUUGAAAAAUGCCAAUGUAGAUACCUUAUCGACUUAGACAUCAAAAUAGAAAUAUUUGAAAUUAUUAGUAUGUAUUAGAUACAUAUGUGAGUAUAUAAGAUGUAUAUAUUAACAUAUUACUACAACUUUGAAUUGCUUGCAUAAUUCUAUUUCGGAGCUUGAAGUUUGAUUUAUGACAGUGAAAUUGUUGGGUUCGUGACACAGUGAAUUUGUGAUACUCCUUCUAUUGCAUGAGUUCAUAGGCUACGGAAUACUAUGAUUAAAUUAUAACUUAAAAUUGUGUUUCCCAAAACAAAAACAGCUUCAGUUAUAGCAAAACCAGUUAUUUUAAUUUGAAAACUAAAUAACAAUGUCAUUUUAACAAAAUUUCUAUAUUGCUCCCAUAGAAAUUUUAUCAAAAUCUUUAAGUAUAUCCUUUCCGAUAAAAAAAGAAUUUUUCAAAUCGGUUUACAAUUAGCGAAGUUAUUAGGUAACAAAUAUAAUAAAAUGCAACCGAAUAAAGAACCUCG